This is a long non-coding RNA of Athene cunicularia (burrowing owl), 236 nucleotides long. RefSeq lists it as uncharacterized. The transcript has 3 exons. The record is from RefSeq and is a predicted model, not a curated record. NCBI's taxonomy places the organism in Eukaryota, Metazoa, Chordata, Aves, Strigiformes, Strigidae.
GUGGGACUGGGGAGGAGACCGAAACACUCAAAUACCCAGAUCCCUGGUAGCUGCCAGCCAGGCAUCGGGAAGGCCACUUGCCUUUUUCAGCACCAGCUGUGCCUUCAGGUCCUCGCUGUGCUGUAGGUGUGACAGGCUCCUGCCCCAGAGCUCUUUGGCUUCGGUGAAAUGUCGACAAUCCUGAAAUGGUUUGGACGAGAAGAUAAGGAGAGAGAGGAGAAGGAGACGGACAAGGA